Molecule: ribosomal RNA, 400 nt
Filed under: Mekongia sp. 1 AJ-2009
Lineage: Eukaryota; Metazoa; Mollusca; Gastropoda; Architaenioglossa; Viviparidae
Description: SSU rRNA
Rfam family: Eukaryotic small subunit ribosomal RNA
Source: RNAcentral
AGUCAUAUGCUUGUCUCAAAGAUUAAGCCAUGCAUGUCUAAGUUCACACCCUCGUACGGUGAAACCGCGAAUGGCUCAUUAAAUCAGUCGAGGUUCCUUAGAUGAUCCAUUUCUACUUGGAUAACUGUGGUAAUUCUAGAGCUAAUACAUGCCCAACAGCUCCGACCCCGGGCUUCGCGGUUCGGGGAAAGAGCGCUUUUAUUAGUUCAAAACCAGUCGGGGGUUUCGGCCCUCGUGCUUUGGUGACUCUGGAUAACUUUGAGCCGAUCGCAUGGCCUCGAGCCGGCGACGCAUCUUUCAAAUGUCUGCCCUAUCAAAUGACGACGGUACGUGAUCUGCCUACCGUGUUGACUACGGGUAGCGGGGAAUCAGGGUUCGAUUCCGGAGAGGGAGCAUGAGA